GCAGCCAGCAGGAACGCCUCCCUUGCUUCUGCGCCUCCCUUGAUGGGGAGGAGCCACCAAGGCUACCCGCUGCUGGCCUCCUGAGUGACAAAACCAGCAGCCAUAUUAGAGUGAAGAGGCCUGGUUGUGGAGGGCUGUGUGCUCAGAGUGGAAUUAUAGCAGUUCAUUUUCUAAAGUGCCACGAGACCUGGGGAUGAACCUUCCGAGAGAAGGGAAAACCACAACAGCAGUCCCCUCGUAGAGAUGCAAUUCAUCAUGGGCAUGACGGCUGGGUCUGUCAACAGGAAGGGCUCUUUUCCCUGUGACGCACGAAAGCAAUCCCAUGGGCUCUGUGUUGCAGCAAGAGGACCCUGAACUCCCUCAGACACCCUGACUGUGUGCAGGGAGCCUCCGAAAUCCAGAGACAGGAGGCAUGCAUCGCCAUGUGGGCACCGAGCGGAAGCAUAACUGGGACUCCAGUUCCUAUGCCCCCACCAUAUUUCCUCGCUCUAAUUAAGCGUGGGGAUAGUGUGUGGUGAGGGUAGUUUGCAGUGGGAGUGAGACCCAUUUAUUUUGUUUCUUGUUAUUUUAUCAUUGAGAUGUAACUUAGAAUUAGUCUCAGGAAUAAGAGGGACACUUUUGCUUCCUGGUAAACAGAGGCUAGCAGUCUGCUAAUAACCUGGUUAAGAGACCAGACAAGGUAGCAGCUGCCAUCCUGAACACCACUGCAUCAGCUCAGCCACCUCCCAGGAGUGAGUCCAGCCAGGAGUGAGUCCAGCCAGGAGUGAGUCCAGCCAGGAGUGAGACCUUGUGACUCCACAGAGCCCACAAUACUCCACAAUGGAGCAGGCAGCACCAGCCGGAACUCACCCCUGCUGCCAUUCCUCCUCCAACCAGCAAGCCUCUAGCGACAUCUCUGAACAUGGUCUCUCCCUGCUCACACUCAGCUAUGCAGAGCGGGAAAAGCGUUUCCUGUCCAAAACAAGCACUGGGGAUUCUGAGGAACCUCUGAGGAGCACCCUGCCUUUACUUGCAGUUCUUCCAGAGAGAUGUUGGAGCUGACAACUGGAGACAAUAUGGCUUGGUGACAACAUCAUAAAAGGAAUCUAAAGAAGUUGGAAUGGAAAGCAAAAGAACAUUGCCAUAUUUUUACCAGGUGGCCCCACCACACGCUACACAGACCAAGAGAGUGAACAUGUCCUUGUUCUUAAAGAGCUCACAAAUGAAUAUCUUUUUUUUUCCCUGAGACUGAGUCUUGCUCUGUCACCCAGGCUAGAGUGCAGUGGCGCGAUCUUGGCUCACUGCAAUCUCCACCUCCCGGGUUCAAGCAGUUCUCCUGCCUUGGCCUCCUAAGUAGCUGGGAUGACAGGCGCGAGCCACCAUGCCUGGCUAUUUUUUUUUUUUGUAUUUUUAGUAGAGACGGGAUUUCACCAUCUUGGCCUGGCUGGUCUUGAACUCCUGACCUCGUGAUCUCCCCACCGCAACCUCCCAAGGUGCUGGGAUUAUAGGCGUGAGCCGCCGUGCCUGGCCUGAAUAUUCUUAAAAAAGGAGUGAAACAGAAAUAGUGUGUUCCUGUAUUUCAGAAUGACAAAGGAAACCAGGAACACUUGCAGGUUAAUAAGUCCAUCCCCCUGUCUCAGAGCAGAG
Molecule: long non-coding RNA, 1626 nt
Filed under: Pan paniscus (pygmy chimpanzee)
Lineage: Eukaryota; Metazoa; Chordata; Mammalia; Primates; Hominidae
Description: lncRNA (ENSPPAG00000045071.1)
Source: RNAcentral